Molecule: long non-coding RNA, 9840 nt
Organism: Gallus gallus (chicken)
Lineage: Eukaryota; Metazoa; Chordata; Aves; Galliformes; Phasianidae
Source: Ensembl
CCCGCAUCCUCCCUUCCCUGCCCACCCCACCUCGGUGGGGGAGGGGUCCCCCCAUGCCAACAGCACACUGCUGCCCACCUUCAUAAGGGGGAUUUCAGUGUUCUCUCGCACCGCUCGGGGUCCUGCCUGCAGAAUGACUUUGGUCCCAUUAAACCUCUUCGUUAACGACGUGGGCGAUGGGGCGGAGCGCCCCAAGGAAGUCUGCGGGUGAUGCAAUGCGGGGAGAAGUGGAUGAUGGAUGGCUGAGCUCAUGCUGCCACCCAGAGGACUCUGGGCACGAUGGAGAAAUGGGCUGCAGGAACCCCAUGGAGCUCAGCAAGGAGCAGUGCGCGGAGAUAUGGUGGGCAUAUUGGAUGAAAUGAGCUCCAGAGGUUCCCUACAACCCCAACCAUCCCAUGACCGUGUGGGGUUCUUUCCAAACCCAACCAUCCCAUGGUCCUAUAGUGUUCCUUCCAACCCCAACCAUCCCAUGUUCCUAUGCGAUUCCUUCCAACCCCAACCAUCCCAUUAUUAUGUGAGGUUCCUUCCAACCCCAACCAUCCCAUAGUCCUGUGAGGUUCCACCCAACCCCAACCAUCCCAUUAUCAUAUGAGAUUCCUUCCAACCCCAACCACCCAUGAUCCUAUGAAGUUCCUUCCAACCCCAACCAUCCCAUUAUCAUGUGAGGUUCCUUCCAACCACAACCAUCCUAUUAUCAUGUGAGAUUCCUUCCAACCCCAACCAUCCCAUGGUCCUGUGGGGCUCUUUCCAACCCCAACCAUCCCAUGAUCCUAUAGUGUUUCUUCCAAUCCCAACCAUUCCAUGGUCCUGUGAGAUUCCUUCCAACCCCAACCAUCCCAUGAUCCUGAGAGGUUCCUUCCAACCCCAACCAUCCCAUGGCCCUAUGAAAUUCCUUCCAACCCCAACCAUCCCAUUAUCCUGUGAAGUUCCUUCCAACCCCAACCAUUCCAUGGUCCUAUAGUGUUCCUUCCAACCCCAACCAUCCCAUGAUCCUAUAGUGUUCCUUCCAACCCCAACCAUCCCAUGGUCCUGUGGGGCUCCUUCCAACCCCAACCAUCCCAUGGCCCUAUGGUGUUCCUUCCAACCCCAACCAUCCCAUGGUCCUAUGAAGUUCCUACCAACCUCAACCAUCCCAUGGUCCUAUGGAGUUCCUUCCAACCCCAACCAUCCCACAGCCCUGUGGGGCUCCUUCCAACCCAACCAUCCCAUGGUCUAAUAGUGUUCCUUCCAACCCCAACAAGUCCGUGGUCCUAUGGUGUUACUUCCAACCCCAACCAUCCCAUGGUCUUGUGGGGCUCUUUCCAAUCCCAACCAUCCCAUGAUCCUACAAAGUUCCUUCCAACCCCAACCAUUCCAUGACCCUGUGGGGUUCCACCCAACCCCAACCAUCCCAUGGUCCUAUAGUGUUCCUUCCAACCCCAACCAUCCCAUACCCCUAUGGUGUCCCUUCCAACCCCAACCAUCCCACAACCCUGUGGGGCUCCUUCCAACCCCAACGAUCCCAUGGCCCUGUGGUGUCCCUUCCAACCCCAACCAUCCCAUGGUCCUGUGGGGUUGAUCCAUUGGGAUCUAUAUGGGAUCUGUAUGGGAUCAAGUGGGACCUAUGGGAUCUCUGUGGGAUCCAUUGGGUUCCAUGGGGCCUGUAUGGGAUCUCUGUGGGAUCUAUUGGGAUCUAUGGGGUCUGUAUGGGAUCUGUAUGUGUUCCAUUUGGAUCUAUGGCGUCUCUAUGGGAUCUAUUGGUUUCUAUGGGGUCUCUAUCAGAUCUCUAUGGGAUCCAGUGGGAUCCACGACGUCCCUUUUGGAUCUCUAUGGGAUCCAGUGGGAUCUAUGGGGUCUCUAUGGGAUCUCUGUGGGAUCUCUAUGGGAUCCAUUGGGAUCUAUGGGGUCUGUAUGGGAUCCCGUGGGAUCUAUGGGGUCUCUAUUGGAUCUGUAUGGGAUCCAUUUGGAUCUAUGGGGUCUUUAUGGGAUCCAUUGGGUUCUAUGGGGUCUUUAUAGGAUUUCUAUGGGAUCCAGUAGGAUCCACAGGGUCUCUAUGGGGUCUCUAUGGGAUCCAUUUGGAUCUAUCGGGUCUCUGUGGGAUCUCUGUGGGAUCUCUAUGGGAUCCAGUGGGAUCUAUGGGGUCUCUGGGGGAUCUCUAUGGGAUCCAGUGGGAUUCACGGGGUCUGUAUGGGAUCUGUAUGGGAUCCCGUGGGAUCGAUGGGGUCUCCAUGGGAUCUCUGUGGGAUCCAUUGGGUUCUAUGGGGUCUCUAUGGGAUCUCUACGGGAUCCAUUGGGAUCUAUGGGGUCUCUGUGGGAUCUGUAUGGGAUCCAGUGAGAUUCACGGGGUCUCUAUGGGAUCUGUAUGGGAUCCAUUUGGAUCUAUGGGAUCUCUAUGGGAUCCAGUGGGAUCUAUGGGGUCUCUAUGGGAUCUCUAUGGGAUCCAUUGGGUUCUAUGGGGUCUCUAUGGGAUUCAUUGGGAUCUAUGGGGUCUAUAUGGGAUCUCUGCGAGAUCCGUUGGGUUCUAUGGCGUCUCUAUGGGGUCUCUAUGGGAUCCAUUGGGAUCUAUGGGAUCUCUAUGGGAUCCCUCUGGCAUAUAUGGGUUCUCUGUGGGAUCUCUGUGGGAUCCCAAUAGGAUCUGUGGGUCCCCACAGUGUCGUCGUUGUCCCCCCCCAUAAAGAACAUAAGCGACGCUAUGGGGCACAGCAGCGUUUAUUGGACGGCACCACGAGGGGGGGAGAGAGGGGGCAGACAACGCUGUGGGGCACGGGGAGGGGGGGGGGAAUCUAUGGGGCAGAGGGGGGGUGAAUCUAUGGGGCAGAAGGGGGUGAUGCUAUGGGGCACGGGGGGGGAAUCUAUGGGGCAGAGGGGGGCGAUGCUAUGGAGUGGGAUGGCAAUGAUGUGGGGCACAGAGGGGGCGCUGUGGGGUAGAGGGGGCGAUGCUAUGGGGGAGAAGGGGCAAUUCUAUGGGGCAGAGAGGGACGAUGCUGUGGGCCAGAGAGGUGAUGGUAUGGGGCAGAGGGGGCGAUGCUAUGGGGCUGGUGGUGAUGCUAUGGGGCAGAGGGGGAUGUUGCUAUGGGGCAGAGGGGGGUGAUGCUAUGGGGCAGAGAGGGACGAUGCUAUGGGGCACAGAGGGAGGAUGCUAUGGGGCAGAGGGGGUGAUGCUAUGGGGCACGGGGGGGGGAAUCUAUGGGGCAGAGGGGGGCGAUGCUAUGGGGUGGGAUGGCAAUGAUGUGGGGCAUAGAGGGGGCGCUGUGGGGCAGAGGGGGGCGUUGCUAUGGGGCAGAGGGGGGUGAUGGUGUGGGGCAGAGGGGGGCGAUGCUAUGGGGCGGAGAGGGUGAUGCUGUGGGGCAGAGGGGGGCGAUGUUAUGGGGCGGAGAGGGAGAUGCUAUGGAGCAGAGGGGUGAUGGUAUGGGGGGGGGAUCUAUGGGGCAGGGGGGGGCGAAUCUAUGGGGCAGAAGAGGAUGAUGCUACGGGGUGGGAUGGCAAUGAUGUGGGGCACAGAGGGGGCGCUGUGGGGCAGAGUGCGGCGUUGCUAUGGGGCAGAGGGGGGGUGAUGCUAUGGGGCAGAGAGGCUGAUGCUAUGGGGCAGAGAAGGAGAAUGCUAUGGGGCAGAGAGGGUGAUGCUAUGGGGCACGGGAGGGGGAAUCUAUGGGGCAGAGGGGGGCGAUGCUAUGGGGUGGGAUGGCAAUGAUGUGGGGCACAGAGGGGGCACUGUGGGGCAGAGGGGGCGAUGCUAUGGGGGAGAAGGGGCAAUUCUAUGGGGCAGAGGGGGACGAUGCUGUGGGUCAGAGAGGUGAUGGUAUGGGGCAGAGGGGGCGAUGCUAUGGGGCUGGUCGUGAUGCUAUGGGGCAGAGGGGGAUGUUGCUAUGGGGCAGAGGGGGGUGAUGCUAUGGGGCAGAGGGGUGAUGCUAUGGGGCAGAGGGGCAAUGCUAUGGGGCAGGAGAGGUGAUGCUAUGGGGUGGGAUGGCAACGAUGUGCGGCAUAGAGGGGGCGCUGAGGGGCAGAGGGGGGGCGUUGCUAUGGGGCAGAGGGGGGUGAUGCUAUGGGGCAGAGAGGCUGAUGCUAUGGGGCAGAGAGGGAGAAUGCUAUGGGGCAGAGAGGGUGAUGCUAUGGGGCACGGGAGGGGGAAUCUAUGGGGCAGAGGGGGGCGAUGCUAUGGGGUGGGAUGGCAAUGAUGUGGGGCACAGAGGGGGCACUGUGGGGCAGAGGGGGCGAUGCUAUGGGGGAGAAGGGGCAAUUCUAUGGGGCAGAGGGGGAUGAUGCUGUGGGUCAGAGGGGUGAUGCUAUGGGGCAGAGAGGGACGAUGCUAUGGGGCAGGAGAGGUGAUGCUAUGGGGUGGGAUGGCAAUGAUGCGGGGCAUAGAGGGGGCGCUGAGGGGCAGAGGGGGGCGUUGCUAUGGGGCAGAGGGGGGCGAUGCUGUGGGGCAGAGGGGGCAAUGCUAUGGGGCAGAGGGGUGAUGCUAUGGGGCAGAGGGGGGUGAUGCUAUGGGGCAGAGGGUCAAUGCUAUGGGGCAGACGAGGGCGAUGCUGUGGGGCAGAGAGGGCAAUGCUAUGGGGCAGGGGGGGAAUCUAUGGGGCAGAGGGGGAUGAUGCUGUGGGGCAGAGAGAAUGCUAUGGGGUAGAGGAGGGCGAUGCUAUGGGGCAGAGAGGGAGAUGCUAUGGGGUAGAGGGCGGUGAUGCUAUGGGGCAGAGGGGGCAAUGCUAUGGGGCAGAAGGGGUGAUGCUAUGGGGUGGGAUGGCAAUGAUGUGGGGCACAGAGGGGGGCGCUGUGGGGCAGAGGGGGCGAUGCUAUGGGGGAGAAGGGGCAAUUCUAUGAGGCAGAGAGGGACGAUGCUGUGGGCCAGAGAGGUGAUGGUAUGGGGCAGAGGGGGCGAUGCUAUGGGGCUGGUGGUGAUGCUAUGGGGCAGAGGGGGAUGUUGCUAUGGGGCAGAGGGGAGUGAUGCUAUGGGGCAGAGGGGUGAUGCUAUGGGGCAGAGGGGCAAUGCUAUGGGGCAGGAGAGGUGAUGCUAUGGGGUGGGAUGGCAAUGAUGUGCGGCAUAGAGGGGGCGCUGAGGGGCAGAGGGGGGCGUUGCUAUGGGGCAGAGGGGGGUGAUGCUAUGGGGCAGAGAGGCUGAUGCUAUGGGGCAGAGAGGGAGAAUGCUAUGGGGCAGAGAGGGUGAUGCUAUGGGGCACGGGAGGGGGAAUCUAUGGGGCAGAGGGGGGCGAUGCUAUGGGGUGGGAUGGCAAUGAUGUGGGGCACAGAGGGGGCACUGUGGGGCAGAGGGGGCGAUGCUAUGGGGGAGAAGGGGCAAUUCUAUGGGGCAGAGAGGGACGAUGCUGUGGGCCAGAGAGGUGAUGGUAUGGGGCAGAGGGGGCGAUGCUAUGGGGCUGGUGGUGAUGCUAUGGGGCAGAGGGGGAUGUUGCUAUGGGGCAGAGGGGGGUGAUGCUAUGGGGCAGAGAGGGACGAUGCUAUGGGGCACAGAGGGAGGAUGCUAUGGGGCAGAGGGGGUGAUGCUAUGGGGCACGGGGGGGGGAAUCUAUGGGGCAGAGGGGGGCGAUGCUAUGGGGUGGGAUGGCAAUGAUGUGGGGCAUAGAGGGGGCGCUGUGGGGCAGAGGGGGGCGUUGCUAUGGGGCAGAGGGGGGUGAUGGUGUGGGGCAGAGGGGGGCGAUGCUAUGGGGCGGAGAGGGUGAUGCUGUGGGGCAGAGGGGGGCGAUGUUAUGGGGCGGAGAGGGAGAUGCUAUGGAGCAGAGGGGUGAUGGUAUGGGGGGGGGAUCUAUGGGGCAGGGGGGGGCGAAUCUAUGGGGCAGAAGAGGAUGAUGCUACGGGGUGGGAUGGCAAUGAUGUGGGGCACAGAGGGGGCGCUGUGGGGCAGAGUGCGGCGUUGCUAUGGGGCAGAGGGGGGGGUGAUGCUAUGGGGCAGAGAGGCUGAUGCUAUGGGGCAGAGAAGGAGAAUGCUAUGGGGCAGAGAGGGUGAUGCUAUGGGGCACGGGAGGGGGAAUCUAUGGGGCAGAGGGGGGCGAUGCUAUGGGGUGGGAUGGCAAUGAUGUGGGGCACAGAGGGGGCACUGUGGGGCAGAGUGGGGCGUUGCUAUGGGGCAGAGGGGGGUGAAGCUGUGGAGCAGAGUGGUGAUGCUAUGGGGCAGAGGGGGGAUGGGGCUAUGGGGCAGGGGAGGCUGAGAAGUGGGGCAGGGUGGGAUGACGCUAUGGGGCACUGUGGGGCGCGGAGGGGCGGUGCUGCUGUGGGGCUGAGCAGAGGUUUGGGGGCUGAAGUUGUGGGGCACAACAGGGGGUGCAAACGGGGCUGCCCCAUAGAUUUGGGGGCUGCCCCAUAAGUGUGCAUAUGUGGGUCCGGAGCUGCCCCAUAGAUUGCAUAGCUGCAGUUGUGGGGCUGCCCCAUAAGUGUGCGUAUGUGGGUCUGGGGCUGCCCCAUAAGUGGGUACCUAGAGCUGUGGGGCUGCCCCAUAGAUUGCAUAGCGGGGGCUGUGGGGCUGCCCCAUAAGUGUGCGUAUGUGGGUCAGGGGCUGCCCCACAGAUUGCAUAGGGGCGGUUGUGGGGCUGCCCCAUAAGUGUGCGUAUGUGGGUCAGGGGCUGCCCCAUAGAUUGCAUAGCGGGGGCUGUGGGGCUGCCCCAUAAGUGUGCGUAUGUGGGUCAGGGGCCACCCCAUAGAUUGCAUAGUGGGGGUUGUGGGGCUGCCCCAUAGCAUAUGUGGGUCAGGGGCUGUCCCAUAAGUGUGCGUAUGUGGGUCUGGGGCUGCCCCAUAAGUGAGUGCCUCGAGCUGUGGGGCUGCCCCAUAGAUUGCAUAGCAGCAGUUGUGGGGCUGCCCCGUAAGCGUGCGUAUGUGGGUCUGGGGCUGCCCCAUAGACUGCAUAGGGGCGGUUGUGGGGCCGCCCCAUAAGUGUGAAUAUGUGGGUCAGGGGCUGCCCCAUAGAUUGCAUAGCGGGGGCUGUGGGGCUGCCCCAUAAGUGUGCGUAUGUGGGUCAGGGGCUGCCCCAUAGAUUGCAUAGUGGGGGUUGUGGGGCUGCCCCAUAGCAUAUGUGGGUCAGGGGCUGCCCUGUAAGUGUGCGUAUGUGGGUCUGGGGCUGCCCCAUAGAUUGCAUAGCGGGGGCUGUGGGGCUGCCCCAUAGCAUUUGUGGGUCAGGAGCUGUCCCAUAAGUGUGCGUAUGUGGGUCUGGGGCUGCCCCAUAAGUGAGUGCCUCGAGCUGUGGGGCUGCCCCAUAGAUUGCAUAGCAGCAGUUGUGGGGCUGCCCCGUAAGUGUGCGUAUGUGGGGCAGGAGCUGCCCCAUAGAUUGCAUAGCUGCAGUUGUGGGGCUGCCCCAUAAGUGUGCGUAUGUGGGUCAGGGGCCGCCCCAUAGAUUGCAUAGUGGGGGCUGUGGGGCUGCCCCAUAGCAUAUGUGGGUCAGGAGCUGCCCCAUAAGUGUGCGUAUGUGGAUCGAAGGCUACCCCAUAGAUUGCAUAGCGGGGGCUGUGGGGCUGCCCCAUAAGUGUGUAUGUGGGGCUGCCCCAUAGUGCCCACCUCACUCCAUAGUGCUGCCCCAUAGAGCUGCCCUAUAGCUCUGCCCCAUAGUGCUGCCCCAGAUCUCUGCCCCAUAGUGCUGCCCCAUAGCACUGCCCCCCAUGGCUGCCCCAUAGCCCUACCCUAUAGCCCUACCCCACAGCUCUUCCCCAUAGCCCUACCCCACAGUGCUGCCCCACAGCGCUGCCCCAUAGCACUGUCCCAUAGUGCUGCCCCACAGCUCUGCCCCAUAGCCCUGCCCCAUAGCGCUGCCCCACAGUGCUGCCCCAUAGCACUGUCCCAUAGUGCUGCCCCAUAGCCCAGCCCCAUAGAGCUGCCCCACAGCACUUCCCCAUAGCCCCGCUCCAUAGCGCUGCCCCACAGCCCUGCCCCAUAGCACUGCCCCAAAGCGCUGCCCCAUAGCCCUACCCCACAGCUCUGCCCCAUAACCCUGCCCCACAUCCCUUCCCCACAUCCCUGCCCCACAGCCCUGCCCCAUAGCCCAGCCCCAUAGCACUACCCCAUAGCUUCCCUAUAGCCCUGCCCCACAGCGCUGCCCCAUAGCUCUGCCCCAUAGCCCAGCCCCAUAACUGUCCCAUAACUUCUUCAUAACUUUGCCCCAUAGCAACCCAAUAGCUCAGCCCCAUAGCAACCCCACAGCUGCCCCAUAGCAGCCCCACAGCUGCCCCAUUACCCUUCCCUAUAGCAACCCUAUAGCUGCCCCAUAGCCCAGCCCCAUAGCAGCCCCAUAACCCUGCCCCAUAACUGCCCCACAGCAGCCCCACAUCUGCCCCAUAGCCCUGCCCCCCAGCUGCCCCAUAGCAGCCCCAUAGCCCAGCCCCAUAGCAGCCCCAUAGCUUCCCCUUAUCCCUGCCCCAUAACAGCCCCAUAGGUGCCCCAUAGCUCUGCCCCAUAGCUGCCCCAUAGCUGCCCCAUAGGUGCCCCCCAGCUGCCCCAUAGCCCCCCAGCUGCCCCAUAGCAGCCCCAUAGGUGCCCCAUAGCAGCCCCACGGCUGCCCCAUAGGUGCCCCCCAGCUGCCCCAUAGCAGCCCCAUAGGUGCCCCAUAGCAGCCCCACUGCUGCCCCAUAGCAUCACCUCAGCUCUGCCCCAUAGCAGCCCCAUAGGUUCCCCACAGCUGCCCCAUAGCUGCCCCACAGCAUCACCACAGCUCAGCAGCCCCAUAGCAGCCCCACAGCUGCCCCAUAGCAGCUCAGUGUGCCUCAGUGCCCCCCAGCUGCCCCAUAGCCCCCCAGCUGCCCCAUAGCAGCCCCGCAGGUGCCCCAUAGCAGCCCCCCAGCUGCCCCAUAGGUGCCCCCCAGCAGCCCCAUAGCAGCCCCAUAGGUGCCCCAUAGCAUCACCACAGCUCUGCCCCAUAGCAGCCCCAUAGGUGUCCCCCAGCUGCCCCAUAGCCCCCCAGCUGCCCCAUAGCAGCCCUACAGCUGCCCCAUAGCCCCCCAGGAGCCCCAUAGGUGCCCCAUAGCAGCCCCACAGCUGCCCCAUAGCCCCCCAGCAGCCCCAUAGGUGCCCCACAGCUGCCCCACAGCUGCCCCAUAGCAGCCCAAUAGGUGCCCCCCAGCUGCCCCAUAGCCCCCCAUAGCCCCCAUAGCAGCUCAGUGUGCCUCAGUGCCCCCCAGCUGCCCCAUAGCAGCCCCAUAGGUGCCCCAUAGCAGCCCCCCAGCUGCCCCAUAGCAGCCCCAUAGGUGUCCCCCAGCUGCCCCAUAGCCCUCUAGCUGCCCCAUAGCAGCCCCAUAGGUGCCCCAUAGCCCCACAGCUGCCCCAUAGCAGCCCAAUAGGUGCCCCCCAGCUGCCCCAUAGCCCCCCAUAGCCCCCAUAGCAGCUCAGUGUGCCUCAGUGCCCCCCAGCUGCCCCAUAGCAGCCCCAUAGGUGUCCCAUAGCCCCCCAGCUGCCCCAUAGCAGCCCCAUAGGUACCCCAUAGGUGCCCCAUAGCAGCCCCACAGCUGACCCACAGCUGCCCCAUAGCAGCCCCAUAGCAGCUCAGUGUGCCUCAGUGCCCCCCAGCUGCCCCAUAGCAGCCCCAUAGGUGCCCCAUAGCCCCCCAGCUGCCCCAUAGCAGCCCCAUAGGUACCCCAUAGGUGCCCCAUAGCAGCCCCACAGCUGCCCCACAGCUGCCCCAUAGCAGCCCCAUAGCAGCUCAGUGUGCCUCAGUGCCCUCCCAGUACUCGCGGGCCCCGGUGGGUUUGGGGCUGUGCGCCCCCCCUUCGCCCCCAUCCUCCUCGGGGGUCCCAAAACCGCCACCGCCGGGGGUCAGAAGGAUGAAUACGUCCUGGGGGGGCAACGGGGGUCAGUGGGGGUCAUGGGGGGGCAAUGGGGGGGAAAUGGGGGGCAAUGGGGGGCAAUGGGGGCAAUGGGGGAAAUGGGGGAAAUGGGGGG